Homo sapiens (human) is the source of this 733-nucleotide long non-coding RNA. Ensembl annotates it as long intergenic non-protein coding RNA 376. NCBI's taxonomy places the organism in Eukaryota, Metazoa, Chordata, Mammalia, Primates, Hominidae. The record is from Ensembl.
AGUCACUUGAAUGCCAGUUUAGAUUCAAGAGGAGAACAAUUAGACUCCACCAAUGUCAGACUGCUAAAAUGUAAAAAAUGGCCAUCAGGAUUUUCUAGGGCAGCAUAAUUAUUCUGCGAGUAGGUAAAGGAGUUUUGAUUGAGAUGAAGAGGUCAUAGAAGUGAGAAGCACUGAAAGACACAGAAGUUUGUUCCUUCCAGUGGGUUCGUGGUCUCACUGACUUCAAGAAUGAAGCCACGGACCCUCGCGAAAGGACCAGAACCAGGGGCAAAAUCUCACAGCUGCAGUAUCAUUUAAGACUCAGAGACAGCCUAUCCUUCUGGGCAAAGGGGCUGAAAAGAAGGACCCUGUGAUCCAAAGAGUUGGGGAAUUCUUCGGAUCCGUAUUGAAGUGAUUCAGCUAGAAAUUGAUAAUCUUCAUUUUAACACUGCUCUGAGUUAAUGGCUGCUCUUGAAAAGGUAUUGAAUCCACCUGGAAUUUCCUUGUGUUUAUGGUUCAAGCUGUUCGUGAGUAUUAUACCACUUGACGACUGAGGCAGAAUCAAAGAAAGUACUAAUGCUCUUCAGUAAAAUAUACAAAACUACAGACAAUGGCAGUGCCUUAUUUUGUAAAGUAUAUAGCUAUGAGCCUUUGCUACUCCUUGCUGACAUUUGGAAUUUAACUGAAGUGUCUUGUUAAAAAACAUUUAUGGAAAUAAAAAGAAUAUCUUUCCUUUUUAGGGAUAUAAAUUAAA